AAGGCACUAGUAACAAAAAUUACACUGCCUUGUCAAGGCAGAGUUGUAGGUUAAACCCCUGCGUGUCUUA
Molecule: transfer RNA, 70 nt
Filed under: Cynoponticus ferox (Guinea pike conger)
Lineage: Eukaryota; Metazoa; Chordata; Actinopteri; Anguilliformes; Muraenesocidae
Description: tRNA-Asp
Rfam family: tRNA
About the family: Transfer RNA (tRNA) molecules are approximately 80 nucleotides in length.
Source: RNAcentral